AAGUGAAUAACUUAAAAAAGAGAAAUGAACAAGAAGAGGAAAUUGCAAAUUUGUGUUUCACGGGAGUUGAAAACUCCAAGGGCAAAGGAGUUAAAUCAACUUGUUGGCAAGCUAGAUGACAAUUGAAGGCUAGAGAUCGGAGCUUCGUUGGAAGUACCUCUAAUUUGUCACUAUGAGGAUGGUGGUAAGCAAGGAUAGUGGCACUAAUCUCGCUUGUGGUUCCUACCUAUAGUGCUUUGAUGCCACUCGUUUAAAAGUACUCCGGGUGAUGCCAAUGUCAGGAGUUUACUCCAAUCGAUGAUCUGUUCUCUACCAACUACUUCGGUGUUAUGCAUGAUCUGUUCUUUACCAAUUGCUUCGGCACGUGCUUAAUAUGUUUCUCCACUAGCGGCUUUGCCCUAAGCAUGAUUUGAUUCUCCUCUAGUUGGCCAUCGAUUGUGAUUUGACUGUGUUUAGGGGAGGAUCACUCAUUGAUUUGGUUUGUAUAUGAUGUGAGAUAGCCAUGUAGAAGCUUAGAUAAAUGCGAUAUGAUUCUGAUGUGGUAUUCCAGUGACUAGAAUGUGUCGUGGAGAAUGAUUUAAAUAACUUUGAUUGGCUUCGAGAGUAAGCCUAAUGAUGUGUGAUAAUCUUUGGAGACAUUAAGGAUAAUGAUAUGCCCUCACAUCAAAGAUUUACGGGAUAAUGAUAUCCUUUAUAUUCAAAGAUGUUUGCUUGAACAUUUAGA
Non-coding RNA from Theobroma cacao (cacao), 724 nucleotides. The record is from RefSeq and is a predicted model, not a curated record. NCBI's taxonomy places the organism in Eukaryota, Viridiplantae, Streptophyta, Magnoliopsida, Malvales, Malvaceae.